Molecule: unclassified non-coding RNA, 204 nt
Filed under: soil metagenome
Description: partial contains 5.8S ribosomal RNA, internal transcribed spacer 2, and large subunit ribosomal RNA
Source: RNAcentral
AACGGUCUAUACCUGCGGUACCUGCGGAAGGAUCAUUACCGAGUUUACAACUCCCAAACCCCUGUGAACAUACCACUCGUUGCCUCGGCGGAUCACCGCGCCCCGUGAAACGGGCCGGCCCGCCAGAGGACCUAAACUCAAAUGUUUUAUUGUAUCUUCUGAGUAAAAACACAAAUAAAUCAAAACUUUCAACAAUGGAUCUCU